This 465-nucleotide ribosomal RNA is filed under the name uncultured bacterium. Its description in RNAcentral is "partial 16S ribosomal RNA". It matches the Rfam family "Bacterial small subunit ribosomal RNA", at positions 338 to 795 of the family's 1533-position model. The record is from RNAcentral.
CCUACGGGAGGCAGCAGUGGGGAAUAUUGCGCAAUGGGCGAGAGCCUGACGCAGCGACGCCGCGUGAGGUAUGACGGUCUUCGGAUCGUAAACCUCUGUCAGCAGGGAAGAACGGUCACUGUGCUAAUCAGCAGUGAAUUGACGGUACCUGCAAAGGAAGCACCGGCUAACUCCGUGCCAGCAGCCGCGGUAAUACGGAGGGUGCGAUCGUUAAUCGGAAUUACUGGGUGUAAAGCGCUCGUAGGCGGUAUGUCAAGUCAAGGGUGAAAUCCCCGCGCUCAACGUGGGAACUGCCUUUGAAACUGGCAAACUUGAGUGUGUGAGAGGAUAGCGGAAUUCGAGGUGUAGGAGUGAAAUCCGUAGAUAUCUGGAGGAACAUCAGUGGCGAAGGCGACUAUCUGGCACAUAACUGACGCUGAGGAGCGAAAGCGUGGGUAGCAAACAGGAUUAGAUACCCCUGUAGUC